ACUCAAAGGAAUUGACGGGGGCCCGCACAAGCGGUGGAGCAUGUGGUUCAAUUCGACGCAACGCGAAGAACCUUACCUGGGCUCGAACGGCCGGUCAACGACUUUGGAAACAGAGUUAUCCCGCAAGGGAGUCCGGUCGAGGUGCUGCAUGGCUGUCGUCAGCUCGUGUCGUGAGAUGUUGGGUUAAGUCCCGCAACGAGCGCAACCCUUGUCCUGUGUUGCCAUGGAGAAAUCCGGAACUCGCAGGAGACCGCCAGCGAUAAGUUGGAGGAAGGUGGGGAUGACGUCAAGUCCUCAUGGCCUUUAUGUCCAGGGCUACACACGUGCUACAAUGGCUGGUACAAAGCGCAGCAAACCCGCGAGGGGGAGCCAAUCGCAAAAAGCCAGUCUCAGUUCGGAUUGCAGGCUGCAACUCGCCUGCAUGAAGCUGGAAUCGCUAGUAAUGGCAGAUCAGCACGCUGCCGUGAAUACGUUCCCGGGCCUUGUACACACCGCCCGU
RNAcentral lists this ribosomal RNA (499 nucleotides) under uncultured bacterium. Its description in RNAcentral is "partial 16S ribosomal RNA". It matches the Rfam family "Bacterial small subunit ribosomal RNA", at positions 899 to 1397 of the family's 1533-position model. The record is from RNAcentral.